RNAcentral lists this microRNA precursor (146 nucleotides) under Gossypium barbadense (sea-island cotton). Its description in RNAcentral is "MIR7502 microRNA precursor family". It matches the Rfam family "MIR7502 microRNA precursor family". Lineage: Eukaryota; Viridiplantae; Streptophyta; Magnoliopsida; Malvales; Malvaceae. RNAcentral also lists the same sequence under 2 other names. The record is from Rfam by way of RNAcentral.
UGUUAAAAGUUUCAUUUAUUUGUACCAUUAAAAAUUGGCAUGCCUGACGGAAUAACUAGACAAUGAAAUGUGGGGUGCCAAGUGUACGUCAUGCUGUCGUACAAAAACCAGUUUUUUUACGGUAGAAAUAGAUGGAAUUUUUUAUA